GACGAACGCUGGCGGCGUGCUUAACACAUGCAAGUCGAACGCGCCUGUCCUCUGGGUUUCUGGGGGGUGGGUGAGUGGCGAACGGGUGAGUAACACGUGAGUAACCUGCCCCCUUCUUCGGGAUAACGGUCUGAAAGGGCUGCUAAUACCGGGUAUUCACUGGUCUCCGCAUGGGGUCUGGUGGAAAGGUUUUUUUCUGGUGGGGGAUGGGCUCGCGGCCUAUCAGCUUGUUGGUGGGGUGAUGGCCCACCAAGGCUUUGACGGGUAGCCGGCCUGAGAGGGUGACCGGUCACAUUGGGACUGAGAUACGGCCCAGACUCCUACGGGAGGCAGCAGUGGGGAAUAUUGCACAAUGGGCGCAAGCCUGAUGCAGCGACGCCGCGUGAGGGAUGGAGGCCUUCGGGCUGUGAACCUCUUUCGCCCGUGGUCAAGCCGCGACGUGGGUCGUGGUGAGGGUAGUGGGUAAAGAAGCGCCGGCUAACUACGUG
This 488-nucleotide ribosomal RNA is filed under the name uncultured bacterium. RNAcentral describes it as "partial 16S ribosomal RNA". It matches the Rfam family "Bacterial small subunit ribosomal RNA", at positions 28 to 507 of the family's 1533-position model. The record is from RNAcentral.